UCAUAAAACUAGAGGAAGGUCAAGUC
Molecule: non-coding RNA, 26 nt
Filed under: Bombyx mori (domestic silkworm)
Lineage: Eukaryota; Metazoa; Arthropoda; Insecta; Lepidoptera; Bombycidae
Source: RNAcentral